AACCUACCUUUAAGUGGGGGAUAACUAGCCGAAAGGUUAGCUAAUACCGCAUACGAUCGUUGAGGGGCAUCUCUUGGCGAUGAAAGGAGCAAUCCGCUUAAAGACGGGACUGCGUCCCAUUAGCUAGUUGGCGGGGUAAUGGCCCACCAAGGCUCCGAUGGGUAGCUGGCUUGAGAGAGCGACCAGCCACACUGGAACUGAGACACGGUCCAGACUCCUACGGGAGGCAGCAGUGAGGAAUUUUCCGCAAUGGACGAAAGUCUGACGGAGCGACGCCGCGUGUGGGAAGAAGGCCUUCGGGUCGUAAACCACUGUCCAGGGGGACGAUACUGACGGUACCCCU
Molecule: ribosomal RNA, 343 nt
Filed under: uncultured bacterium
Lineage: Bacteria
Description: bacterial SSU rRNA
Rfam family: Bacterial small subunit ribosomal RNA
Source: RNAcentral